RNAcentral lists this ribosomal RNA (253 nucleotides) under uncultured bacterium. RNAcentral's name for it is "partial 16S ribosomal RNA". It matches the Rfam family "Bacterial small subunit ribosomal RNA", at positions 524 to 776 of the family's 1533-position model. The record is from RNAcentral.
UACGGAGGGUGCAAGCGUUAUCCGGAUUCACUGGGUUUAAAGGGCGCGUAGGUGGGUCUGUAAGUCAGUGGUGAAAUCUCCGGGCUUAACCUGGAAACUGCCAUUGAUACUAUAGGUCUUGAAUAUUGUGGAGGUUAGCGGAAUAUGUCAUGUAGCGGUGAAAUGCUUAGAUAUGACAUAGAACACCAAUUGCGAAGGCAGCUGGCUACGCAUAUAUUGACACUGAGGCGCGAAAGCGUGGGGAGCAAACAGG